GUGGAUUAGAUACCCUGGUAGUCCACGCCGUAAACGAUGGGUACUAGGUGUAGGGGGUAUCGACUCCCUCUGUGCCGCAGUUAACACAAUAAGUACCCCGCCUGGGGAGUACGGUCGCAAGAUUAAAACUCAAAGGAAUUGACGGGGGCCCGCACAAGCAGCGGAGCAUGUGGUUUAAUUCGAAGCAACGCGAAGAACCUUACCUAGACUUGACAUCUCCUGAAUACUCUAGAGAUAGAGGAAGCCCUUCGGGGCAGGAAGACAGGUGGUGCAUGGCUGUCGUCAACU
This 288-nucleotide ribosomal RNA is filed under the name uncultured bacterium. Its description in RNAcentral is "partial 16S ribosomal RNA". It matches the Rfam family "Bacterial small subunit ribosomal RNA", at positions 773 to 1060 of the family's 1533-position model. The record is from RNAcentral.